Molecule: transfer RNA, 88 nt
Filed under: Nitrospirota bacterium
Lineage: Bacteria; Pseudomonadati; Nitrospirota
Description: Nitrospirae bacterium (sediment metagenome) tRNA-Leu
Rfam family: tRNA
About the family: Transfer RNA (tRNA) molecules are approximately 80 nucleotides in length. Their secondary structure includes four short double-helical elements and three loops (D, anti-codon, and T loops). Further hydrogen bonds mediate the characteristic L-shaped molecular structure. tRNAs have two regions of fundamental functional importance: the anti-codon, which is responsible for specific mRNA codon recognition, and the 3' end, to which the tRNAs corresponding amino acid is attached (by aminoacyl-tRNA synthetases). tRNAs cope with the degeneracy of the genetic code in two manners: having more than one tRNA (with a specific anti-codon) for a particular amino acid; and 'wobble' base-pairing, i.e. permitting non-standard base-pairing at the 3rd anti-codon position.
Source: RNAcentral
GCCGGAGUGGCGGAAUGGGUAGACGCAAGGGACUUAAAAUCCCUCGGGUAUUAUACUCGUACCGGUUCAAGUCCGGUCUCCGGUACCA